This 81-nucleotide antisense RNA is filed under the name Erwinia sp. Leaf53. RNAcentral describes it as "antisense RNA of dnaA mRNA". It matches the Rfam family "antisense RNA of dnaA mRNA". The record is from Rfam by way of RNAcentral. Lineage: Bacteria; Pseudomonadati; Pseudomonadota; Gammaproteobacteria; Enterobacterales; Erwiniaceae.
UUUGGCAUUCGGCUUACGCGCCAUAAUGCCGUUGCCCACCGCAUGCAGCAGGUGGGUUUUACCAAGGCCGGUGCCGCCGUA